Molecule: ribosomal RNA, 508 nt
Filed under: uncultured bacterium
Lineage: Bacteria
Description: partial 16S ribosomal RNA
Rfam family: Bacterial small subunit ribosomal RNA
Source: RNAcentral
GAUGAACGCUAGCUACAGGCUUAACACAUGCAAGUCGAGGGGAAACGAUAUUGGAAGCUUGCUUCCGAUAGGCGUCGACCGGCGCACGGGUGAGUAACGCGUAUCCAACCUGCCCACCGCUUGGGGAUAACCUUGCGAAAGUAAGACUAAUACCCAAUGAUAUCUCAAGAAGACAUCUGAAUGAGAUUAAAGAUUUAUCGGUGAUGGAUGGGGAUGCGUCUGAUUAGCUUGUUGGCGGGGUAACGGCCCACCCAGGCUACGAUCAGUAGGGGUUCUGAGAGGAAGGUCCACCACAUUGGAACUGGGACACGGUCCAAACUCCUACGGGAGGCAGCAGUGAGGAAUAUUGGUCAAUGGGCGAGAGCCUGAACCAGCCAAGUAGCGUGCAGGAUGACGGCCCUAUGGGUUGUAAACUGCUUUUAUAAGGGAAUAAAGUGAGCCUCGUGAGGCUUUUUGCAUGUACCUUAUGAAUAAGGACCGGCUAAUUCCGUGCCAGCCGCCGCGGUAA